This 73-nucleotide ribosomal RNA is filed under the name uncultured bacterium. RNAcentral's name for it is "partial 16S ribosomal RNA". The record is from RNAcentral.
AGUCUGAUCUAGCCAUGCCGCGUGCAGUGAUGACUGCCCUAUGGAUGGUAAGCUGCUUUCUAUACAGGAAGAA